AUUGAACGCUGGCGGCAGGCCUAACACAUGCAAGUCGAGCGGAUGAAGGGAGCUUGCUCCUGGAUUCAGCGGCGGACGGGUGAGUAAUGCCUAGGAAUCUGCCUGGUAGUGGGGGAUAACGUCCGGAAACGGGCGCUAAUACCGCAUACGUCCUGAGGGAGAAAGUGGGGGAUCUUCGGACCUCACGCUAUCAGAUGAGACUAGGUCGGAUUAGCUAGUUGGUGGGGUAAAGGCCUACCAAGGCGACGAUCCGUAACUGGUCUGAGAGGAUGAUCAGUCACACUGGAACUGAGACAAGGUCCAAACUCCUGCGGGAGGCACCAGUGGGGAAGAUUGGACAAUGGGCGAAAGCCUGAUCCAGCCAUGCGGCGUGUGUGAAGAAGGUCUUCGGAUUGUAAAGCACUUUAAGUUGGGAGGAAGUGCAGUAAGUUAAUACCUUGCUGUUUUGACGUUACCAACAGAAUAAGCACCGGCUAACUUCGUG
Molecule: ribosomal RNA, 484 nt
Filed under: uncultured bacterium
Lineage: Bacteria
Description: partial 16S ribosomal RNA
Rfam family: Bacterial small subunit ribosomal RNA
Source: RNAcentral